UACAUGUGGGGCAAGCGUUGUUCGGAAUUACUGGGCAUAAAGGGUGCGUAGGCGGCUUGAUAAGUCAGUGGUGAAAUCGUCCGGCCCAACCGGACACGUGCCAAUGAUACUGUCGAGCUUGAGUGCGUGAGGGGUGGGGGGAACGAGCAGUGUAGCGGUGAAAUGCGUAGAUAUUGCUCAGAAGGCCAAAGCCGAAGGGACCCCACUGGUACGCAACUGACGCUGAGGCACGAAAGCGUGGGGAGCAAACAGG
Molecule: ribosomal RNA, 253 nt
Filed under: uncultured bacterium
Lineage: Bacteria
Description: partial 16S ribosomal RNA
Rfam family: Bacterial small subunit ribosomal RNA
Source: RNAcentral